RNAcentral lists this long non-coding RNA (918 nucleotides) under Mytilus galloprovincialis (Mediterranean mussel). The record is from RNAcentral. Lineage: Eukaryota; Metazoa; Mollusca; Bivalvia; Mytilida; Mytilidae.
UAAAAAUUAUAAAUAAUUUUUUGAAAAAUUUAUUUCGAGAACCGGAAGUCAUAGAGACUUGGGAACCUUCACCAAUAAUCUUAAAUUCAUGUGACCUUUAAUAUGCACCCAAGGUCAAAGGUCACCGAGUGCAAAAAAAAAUUACGCUGCAAUUUCAAGCUUACAUAUUAGGAAAACGAUAAGACUUUGCUGCAUACAUACAGCGUAUAAAAUGUUCUUCUCGACGAGCUCUACAUUUUAUACAAUAAGCCCAAAAAUGUCCGACCGUCUGUUCAAAAGUUACAACGGGAUGAUUCUUAAAAGUAUAGUAUUGUGUGUAUAUCUUUUUAAAUGUAACAGAUAUCAACCUACUAUAAACUGCAAAGAUGAUCAGUAAUUCAAGACCUUCAAUUUGAGGUCAAUGUCAGGUCAUGAUGAAAUUUCACCUUGACCUUCACAGUAUACAAUGACCUUGACCUUGUGAUAGUUGAAAGGUUAAGUGGUCCUGAGUUGAAUGGUGCUAGUCCCAUGUCUCUACGACUUCCGGUUCUUAAGUUUAGUAUUGCAUCAUAUAUUUGAUGAUUAAUUGUGACCUUGGUGAACUUUGAAAUUGUCCAAUUCUUUUUCUAUAAUGUUGUCCUUCAACUGUAGAUCAUUUAUCAUUUAACAGAUUUGAGAUAUCUAUUGUCGUUUUAGAGAUAAUGCAGUUUGAAGUUUUGCGAGCGGAGGCAUGUAUUUCUGAAUCAACAAGAGCUUACCACUUAAAAUGUUUAAGAAAUUGAAGAGGUUAAUAUAGUUAUAUGUUUGCCCAAAUACCAAAAACAUUCCAUGGAAAAUAACGCCAAAAAUUCAAUUUGAAAUUUUCAAGUUUUGCAUUGACUUUGUAAGUUUCAUAACUUCUAUUUAUAUAGUUGAUAUUGCAUCAUUAUUUGCACUUUG